This is a long non-coding RNA of Chelonia mydas (Green sea turtle), 2035 nucleotides long. RefSeq lists it as uncharacterized. The transcript is spliced from 3 exons. NCBI's taxonomy places the organism in Eukaryota, Metazoa, Chordata, Testudines, Cheloniidae. The record is from RefSeq and is a predicted model, not a curated record.
GCAGAAUUCCUUUCCCCUCUGGGCGAUACUAAUUACUCCCUGCAGAUGUUGUUAUUGGUGCUAAUGAUAAAAUGCAGAAAAAAGGAUCCGGGGACAGAUGUUGUGUGCGCCAGAGUCCAGAGGGAACACUCAACAGACCACUUCAGUCUCCCUUUACAAUGUGGAAAAAGUGCGCCACUGUCAUCUUCACAGCACAGCUGCGCCCCUCAGAUCCCCUGCACAGGAGAGGCUCAGCAGCUGCAGGACCUACUACAGCCCUGAUGUUGCUGGAGCAGCUCUGCAGCCAGCGGGGAGAAGAUUCUGUUCCCCUCAACUCCCAUGGACCCCCCCAUCACACAACCCGCUUUCUGCUUGUACACUGGGUCCAAGGUCGGAACUGAAACGUAUUAAUAAUCAUUCAUCUCCCCUAUCCAAUGCCCCAUUACCUCGAAACAGACAAAACACUUCCAUUUGUAUUAUAAAGAGGCCACCAUCUGGGCCACCUCACCACAUACACACGGAAUCCUUCCGCCACCAUCUGGUCCACCUCACCACAUACACACGGAAUCCUUCCACCACCGUCUGGGCCACCUCACCACAUACACACGGAAUCCUUCCACCACCGUCUGGGCCACCUCACCACAUACACACGGAAUCCUUCCACCACCGUCUGGGCCACCUCACCACAUACACACGGAAUCCUUCCACCACCGUCUGGGCCACCUCACCACAUACACACCACAACCGUCUGCCUGCUUCUUCUUCAGCAUCAAUGGCAGCUCUUCCUCCAGCCUAGUUACAAUGUCCCUUCCCUCAUGCUGGUGAAACAAUGCUGCUCUGAUUGCUUCCAUUUCCCAGGUGCUGAUGGUCACACGCAGUUGAACUGUCACAGGGAAAGAAAAAGUGCCAGUGUGUGGACUGUCCUCAGCUCAGACAAAGUUCCUAUCUGCUGAAAUUUGCCAUCUGCCCUAUACAUUAGCAGAUAUGUAAAGAUAUAGAUGUAGGCAUGUCCUCGGUGGCUACAUGCAAUGUUUGGAACCACAGGUCGUCUGCAGGGCUAGAACCUAUAGACUUCAGCACUACAGCACAGACUACUACCUCUUGAGCUAACAGAAUAACUCUGUCACCUUCAGAAGUAAUUGGCUGUUAUCUUCCAUGCUAGCCAUGAGACAGGGAUGUGCCACCUUACAUGGGAGUUACAUAUUCAUCUGAAGACUCUGUUGGCAGUGGGCUAGAUUCUGUUCUCACUUCCACCAAUGUAAAUGUGAACUCUGUUACACUAGUGCAAAUCCACCGUAAGCGAGGGAAGCAAUUAACUCCAGUGAGUUAUUCCUGGCAAGGUCAGGACUCAGUUAAACACAAUUAGGAAUAUGGGAAAAUUGCACAGAUCAGUUAGGUUUUUCAGACAUCCCUUUGGGCUGGUCUACACACAGUUUUUGUACCACUUCAACUAUAUUGUUAAAGUGGUCUAAUCCCCUAGUGAGGACACAGUUUUACUUACUGUACAUUUGCAGAAACAAGCUAGACCCAUACAGGCCCCUUUAAUACCAGCAUUAGUCACUUUUUGGAGACAUCUAUGUGGAAAUCUGGCAGCAGAUUUUCACCCAAAAUGCCAUCAAGGAAAAUAAAGAUAUAAAAUGAUCUGAAACCCCAUCCAAGACAUUUUAGCUGGCCAAUAUUUUGCUUUGGCAUUUGAAUUUUUAGAAGUGGCCCACCUAAUAAAGAUUUUCACAGCUAUACUGUACGUUUUUAUUUUAAAACUUAAAAUCUGUUUAACUUCCAAUAAUUUAGCAAACUACUCACACGCAUUUCAACUUAUUUCUACUUAAAUACAUCUAGCAAAGGUGACCAGAUGCUUUGUGUUUUUAAUGGCUUGUUCUAUGUCCCAACAAAAUUUCCCAGUUUUGGCUGCAUUCGCAGAUGACUCAUUUUGAAACCCUGCCCAGCUGCCCUGACACAGACGAGGCAUGGCACAGUUAAAAAAACAGACCAUCUGUGCAAGAGAAGUGGGUAGAGGGAGUUCUUUGCCAGGAAAAGGUCCUGCCAUUUCUUGGUC